This 563-nucleotide ribosomal RNA is filed under the name Nocardia testacea. Its description in RNAcentral is "bacterial SSU rRNA". It matches the Rfam family "Bacterial small subunit ribosomal RNA", at positions 301 to 874 of the family's 1533-position model. Lineage: Bacteria; Bacillati; Actinomycetota; Actinomycetes; Mycobacteriales; Nocardiaceae. The record is from RNAcentral.
CGAUCGGCCACACUGGGACUGAGACACGGCCCAGACUCCUACGGGAGGCAGCAGUGGGGAAUAUUGCACAAUGGGCGGAAGCCUGAUGCAGCGACGCCGCGUGAGGGAUGACGGCCUUCGGGUUGUAAACCUCUUUCGACUCCGACGAAGCGAGAGUGACGGUAGGAGUAUAAGAAGCACCGGCCAACUACGUGCCAGCAGCCGCGGUAAUACGUAGGGUGCGAGCGUUGUCCGGAAUUACUGGGCGUAAAGAGCUUGUAGGCGGCUUGUCGCGUCGAUCGUGAAAACUCGGGGCUCAACCCCGAGCUUGCGGUCGAUACGGGCAGGCUUGAGUACUUCAGGGGAGACUGGAAUUCCUGGUGUAGCGGUGAAAUGCGCAGAUAUCAGGAGGAACACCGGUGGCGAAGGCGGGUCUCUGGGAAGUAACUGACGCUGAGAAGCGAAAGCGUGGGUAGCGAACAGGAUUAGAUACCCUGGUAGUCCACGCCGUAAACGGUGGGUACUAGGUGUGGGUUUCCUUCCACGGGAUCCGUGCCGUAGCUAACGCAUUAAGUACCCCGCCU